UAGGGAAUAUUGGACAAUGGGGGAAACCCUGAUCCAGCAAUGCCGCGUGAGUGAAGAAGGCCUUCGGGUUGUAAAACUCUUUCAUCAAUGAUGAUAAUGACAUUAGUUGAAGAAGAAGCUCCGGCUAACUUCGUGCCAGCAGCCGCGGUAAUACGAAGGGGGCUAGCGUUGUUCGGAAUCACUGGGCGUAAAGCGUAUGUAGGCGGAUCAAAAAGUUAGAUGUGAAAUCCCUGGGCUCAACCCAGGAACUGCAUUUAAAACUAGUGAUCUAGAAUUUGGUAGGGGUUAGUAGAAUUUCCAGUGUAGAGGUGAAAUUCGUAGAUAUUGGAAAGAAUACCAGUGGCGAAGGCGACUAACUGGGCCAUUUUUGACGCUGAGAUACGAAAGCGUGGGUAGCAAACAGG
This 404-nucleotide ribosomal RNA is filed under the name uncultured bacterium. Its description in RNAcentral is "bacterial SSU rRNA". It matches the Rfam family "Bacterial small subunit ribosomal RNA", at positions 355 to 776 of the family's 1533-position model. The record is from RNAcentral.